AUUUAAUUAGUAUAUACUAGUACACUUAAUUUCCAAUUAAAAAGAUUUUGUUUAAAAAUUAAAUA
Molecule: transfer RNA, 65 nt
Filed under: Ixodes simplex
Lineage: Eukaryota; Metazoa; Arthropoda; Arachnida; Ixodida; Ixodidae
Description: tRNA-Gly
Source: RNAcentral